GAUGAACGCUGGCGGCGUGCCUAAUACAUGCAAGUCGAGCGAACAGACGAGGAGCUUGCUCCUCUGACGUUAGCGGCGGACGGGUGAGUAACACGUGGAUAACCUACCUAUAAGACUGGGAUAACUUCGGGAAACCGUAGCUAAUACCGGAUAAUAUAUUGAACCGCAUGGUUCAAUAGUGAAAGACGGUUUUGCUGUCACUUAUAGAUGGAUCCGCGCCGCAUUAGCUAGUUGGUAAGGUAACGGCUUACCAAGGCAACGAUGCGUAGCCGACCUGAGAGGGUGGUCGGCCACACUGGAACUGAGACACGGUCCCGACUCCUACGGGAGGCCGCAGUAGGGAAUCUUCCGCAAUGGGCGAAAGCCUGACGGAGCAACGCCGCGUGAGUGAUGAAGGUCUUCGGAUCGUAAAACUCUGUUAUUAGGGAAGAACAAAUGUGUAAGUAACUAUGCACGUCUUGACGGUACCUGAUCAGAAAGCCACGGCUAACUACGUG
RNAcentral lists this ribosomal RNA (497 nucleotides) under uncultured bacterium. RNAcentral describes it as "partial 16S ribosomal RNA". It matches the Rfam family "Bacterial small subunit ribosomal RNA", at positions 28 to 507 of the family's 1533-position model. The record is from RNAcentral.